GAUGAACGCUAGCGGCAGGCUUAAUACAUGCAAGUCGAACGGUAAGGUCUCUUCGGAGAUACACGAGUGGCGCACGGGUGCGUAACGCGUAUGCAACCUACCUUUAACUGGGAAAUAGCCCCGAGAAAUCGGGAUUAAUGUCCCAUAUUAUUCUGAGAAUGCAUAUUCUUAGAAUGAAAGCUCCGGCGGUUAUUGAUGGGCAUGCGUGACAUUAGCUAGUUGGUGAGGUAACGGCUCACCAAGGCUACGAUGUCUAGGGGUUCUGAGAGGAUUUUUCCCCCACACUGGUACUGAGACACGGACCAGACUCCUACGGGUGGCUG
RNAcentral lists this ribosomal RNA (323 nucleotides) under uncultured Bacteroidota bacterium. Its description in RNAcentral is "bacterial SSU rRNA". It matches the Rfam family "Bacterial small subunit ribosomal RNA", at positions 28 to 351 of the family's 1533-position model. Lineage: Bacteria; Pseudomonadati; Bacteroidota. The record is from RNAcentral.